GACGAACGCUGGCGGCGUGCUUAACACAUGCAAGUCGAACGGAAAGGCCCUGCUUUUGUGGGGUGCUCGAGUGGCGAACGGGUGAGUAACACGUGUGUAACCUGCCCUUGACUUUGGGAUAACUUCAGGAAACUGGGGCUAAUACCGGAUAGGAGCUCCUGCUGCAUGGUGGGGGUUGGAAAGUUUCGGCGGUUGGGGAUGGACUCGCGGCUUAGCAGCUUGUUGGUGGGGUAGGGGUAUACCAAGGCUUUGACGGGUAGCCGGCCUGAGAGGGUGACCGGCCACAAUGCGACUGCGGUACGGCGCAGACGCCAAUGGGAGGCAGCAGGGGGAAACAUGACACAAUGGGCGGGAGCCUGAUGCAGAAACGCUGGGUUCGGGAUGACGGCCUUCGGGUUGAAAACCGCUUUGGCCUGUGACGAAGCGGGAGUGACGGUAAUGGGUAAAGAAGCACCGGCUAACUACGUG
Molecule: ribosomal RNA, 468 nt
Filed under: uncultured bacterium
Lineage: Bacteria
Description: partial 16S ribosomal RNA
Rfam family: Bacterial small subunit ribosomal RNA
Source: RNAcentral